Molecule: transfer RNA, 74 nt
Filed under: Phycisphaerales bacterium
Lineage: Bacteria; Pseudomonadati; Planctomycetota; Phycisphaerae; Phycisphaerales
Description: tRNA-Pro
Rfam family: tRNA
About the family: Transfer RNA (tRNA) molecules are approximately 80 nucleotides in length. Their secondary structure includes four short double-helical elements and three loops (D, anti-codon, and T loops).
Source: RNAcentral
CGGGGCGUGGCGCAGUUUGGUAGCGCGUUUGACUGGGGGUCAAAAGGUCGCAGGUUCAAAUCCUGUCGCCCCGA